This 465-nucleotide ribosomal RNA is filed under the name uncultured bacterium. Its description in RNAcentral is "partial 16S ribosomal RNA". It matches the Rfam family "Bacterial small subunit ribosomal RNA", at positions 338 to 795 of the family's 1533-position model. The record is from RNAcentral.
CCUACGGGCGGCAGCAGUGGGGAAUAUUGCGCAAUGGGCGGAAGCCUGACGCAGCGACGCCGCGUGCGGGAUGAAGGUCUUCGGAUCGUAAACCUCUGUCAGCAGGGAAGAACGGUCACUGUGCUAAUCAGCAGUGAAUUGACGGUACCUGCAAAGGAAGCACCGGCUAACUCCGUGCCAGCAGCCGCGGUAAUACGGAGGGUGCGAGCGUUAAUCGGAAUUACUGGGCGUAAAGCGCUCGUAGGCGGUAUGUCAAGUCAAGGGUGAAAUCCCCGCGCUCAACGUGGGAACUGCCUUGGAAACUGGCAAACUGGAGUGUGAGAGAGGAUAGUGGAAUUCCAGGUGUAGGAGUGAAAUGCGUAGAUAUCUGGAGGAACAUCAGUGGCGAAGGCGACUAUCUGGCACAUAACUGACGCUGAGGAGCGAAAGCGUGGGUAGCAAACAGGAUUAGAUACCCUGGUAGUC